UAGAAUAAACUUGGUUGGGUUGUUGCUGGCUCCUUGGAGCAUGUGCACGCCUAGCACCAAUUUAUUUACCCCCCUGUGCACUCUUUGUAGAUGAUGGAAUUAUAUAUCUCUCUCGAGGACAACUCGGAUUGAGGUUUGCUGUGCGAAAGUCAGCUUGCCUUGUAUAUUCCUAGUCUACGUUUUUCUUAUAUACUCCAUAUUGAAUGUAUUAGAAUGUAUUAACAGGCCUUUGUGCCUUUAAUCAUAUA
This 248-nucleotide unclassified non-coding RNA is filed under the name uncultured Basidiomycota. RNAcentral describes it as "sequence contains ITS1". Lineage: Eukaryota; Fungi; Basidiomycota. The record is from RNAcentral.